AGUGAACGCUGGCGGUAGGCCUAACACAUGCAAGUCGAACGGCAGCACAGUAAGAUCUUGCUCUUACGGGUGGCGAGUGGCGGGUGGGUGAGGAAUACAUCGGAAUCUACUUUUUCGUGGGGGAUAACGUAGGGAAACUUCCGCUAAUACCGCAUACGACGUACGGGUGAAAGCAGGGGAUCUUCGGACCUUGCGCGUUUGAAUGAGCCGAUGUCGGAUUAGCUAGUUGGGUGGGUAAAGGCCCACCAAGGCGACGAUCCGUAGCUGGUCUGAGAGGAUGAUCGGCCACACUGGAACUGAGACACGGUCCAGACUCCUACGGGAGGCAGCAGUGGGGAAUAUUGGGCAAUGGGCGCAAGCCUGACCCAGCCAUACCGCGUGAGUGAAGAAGGCCUUCGGGUUGUAAAGCCCUUUUGUUGGGAAAGAAAAGCAGCAGAUUAAUACCCCGCUGUUCUGACGGUACCCAAAGAAUAAGCACCGGCUAACUUCGUG
This 492-nucleotide ribosomal RNA is filed under the name uncultured bacterium. Its description in RNAcentral is "partial 16S ribosomal RNA". It matches the Rfam family "Bacterial small subunit ribosomal RNA", at positions 29 to 507 of the family's 1533-position model. The record is from RNAcentral.